Molecule: ribosomal RNA, 253 nt
Filed under: uncultured bacterium
Lineage: Bacteria
Description: partial 16S ribosomal RNA
Rfam family: Bacterial small subunit ribosomal RNA
Source: RNAcentral
UACGUAGGGUGCGAGCGUUAAUCGGAAUUACUGGGCGUAAAGCGUGCGCAGGCGGCGCGUUAAGACAGGUGUGAAAGCCCCGAGCUUAACUUGGGAAUUGCGCUUGUGACUGGCGUGCUGGAGUGUGGCAGAGGGAGGUGGAAUUCCACGUGUAGCAGUGAAGUGCGUAGAGAUGUGGAGGAACACCGAUGGCGAAGGCAGCCUCCUGGGCCAGCACUGACGCUCAUGCACGAAAGCGUGGGGAGCAAACAGG